This 315-nucleotide unclassified non-coding RNA is filed under the name plant metagenome. RNAcentral describes it as "partial contains 5.8S ribosomal RNA, internal transcribed spacer 2, and large subunit ribosomal RNA". The stretch from base 1 to 105 matches the Rfam family "5.8S ribosomal RNA", at positions 50 to 154 of the family's 154-position model. The record is from RNAcentral.
GAAAUGCGAUAACUAGUGUGAAUUGCAGAAUUCCGUGAAUCAUCGAGUCUUUGAACGCACAUUGCGCCCCCUGGUAUUCCGGGGGGCAUGCCUGUCCGAGCGUCAUUGCUGCCCAUCAAGCACGGCUUGUGUGUUGGGUCGUCGUCCCCUCUCCGGGGGGGACGGCCCCAAAGGCAGCGGCGGCACCGCGUCCGAUCCUCGAGCGUAUGGGGCUUUGUCACCCGCUCUGUAGGCCCGGCCGGCGCUUGCCGAACGCAAAUCAAUCUUUUUCCAGGUUGACCUCGGAUCAGGUAGGGAUACCCGCUGAACUUAAGC